This is a non-coding RNA of Schistocerca piceifrons (Central American locust), 72 nucleotides long. The record is from the annotation of a RefSeq genome assembly. NCBI's taxonomy places the organism in Eukaryota, Metazoa, Arthropoda, Insecta, Orthoptera, Acrididae.
GCCAUGGUGGCGUAAUGGUUAGCACAUCUGCCUAGUGAGCAGGUGACCUGAGCUCGAACCUCAGCCUUGGCA